CUCCUGAGAGUGACCACUGUGUGCAAUAGUCUUCUAAUCGCUGCUGGUAGUGUCUGUUGCAUUUUCAAGUGGAAGCAGAUGUGAGAAACAGGAGAAACAGCAAUGACUAGAGGGCCAGAAUAAAGACAUUUAAAUUUCCCAGCGGAUGGAUCAGACUGAAAUAGUGAGAAGCAGCUGCGGGAAUUCGUUUUCAUUUCUGUCUGUUCUUUGCCAGUACCACUGAUGUGUGUGUGCCCCACUGCUGGAGACCACCAGAGCUUUGUUUUCUAGUUUAUGCACUUUAGCACCUGCUGCAGGUAUCUCCUCCUGGUCAUAACCUUGUGUGGUCUCUACUGUUUGGGCAGAACUGCGCUGUCUAUGGUUCCUAAGCCCCUGUGCAACAUGUGAAAUUAUAAGGAUUUAUUUAACUGCUUUAGUGAAUUGCAACACAUGGAGGAUUCUUUAUAUAGAAACAUUAUACUGACAAGUUUCCUUGUUUGACCCAUCUAUGUAUUUUUCAAGGCUGAUAUAUGAACAUGUAAUCCCAUUGCUAGUUGCUAUAGUACGAACUGACUAGACUACUUUUUGUGAAAUAUGUAUUCACCAUAGGCUUUAUGCAGUUUAAUAGAUUUUUUCCUGCAUUUAUGCCAAAAUAAAUGUGAAUCUACCCUGAAAA
Bombina bombina (fire-bellied toad) is the source of this 655-nucleotide long non-coding RNA. RefSeq lists it as uncharacterized. The transcript has 2 exons. The record is from RefSeq and is a predicted model, not a curated record. Lineage: Eukaryota; Metazoa; Chordata; Amphibia; Anura; Bombinatoridae.